AAGUCGUAACAAGGUCUCCGUUGGUGAACCAGCGGAGGGAUCAUUACCGAGUUUACAACUCCCAAACCCCAAUGUGAACGUUACCAAUCUGUUGCCUCGGCGGGUUAUUUUUCUGCCCCGGGCGCGUCGCAGCCCCGGACCAAGGCGCCCGCCGGAGGACCAACUCUCAAACUCUUUUUGUAACAUCCCUUCGCGGAUUUUCUAAAUACUUUCUGAGCUUUCUCGGCGCUCCUAGCGAGCGUUUCGAAAAUGAAUCAAAACUUUCAACAACGGAUCUCUUGGUUCUG
RNAcentral lists this unclassified non-coding RNA (287 nucleotides) under air metagenome. RNAcentral describes it as "partial contains small subunit ribosomal RNA, internal transcribed spacer 1, and 5.8S ribosomal RNA". The stretch from base 1 to 46 matches the Rfam family "Eukaryotic small subunit ribosomal RNA", at positions 1786 to 1831 of the family's 1831-position model. The record is from RNAcentral.